This 459-nucleotide ribosomal RNA is filed under the name uncultured bacterium. RNAcentral's name for it is "partial 16S ribosomal RNA". It matches the Rfam family "Bacterial small subunit ribosomal RNA", at positions 339 to 795 of the family's 1533-position model. The record is from RNAcentral.
CUACGGGUUGCUGCAGUAAGGAAUAUUGGUCAAUGGACGCAAGUCUGAACCAGCCAUGCCGCGUGCAGGAAGACGGUCCUCUGGAUUGUAAACUGCUUUUGUUAGGGAAGAAACCCCUGGAUGCGUCCGGGGCUGACGGUACCUAAAGAAUAAGGAUCGGCUAACUCCGUGCCAGCAGCCGCGGUAAUACGGAGGAUCCAAGCGUUAUCCGGAUUUAUUGGGUUUAAAGGGUGCGUAGGCGGCGUUGUAAGUCAGUGGUGAAAGUUUGCAGCUUAACUGUAAAAUUGCCAUUGAUACUGCAGUGCUUGAGUAUAGAUGAGGUGGGCGGAAUGUGUCAUGUAGCGGUGAAAUGCAUAGAUAUGACACAGAACACCGAUUGCGAAGGCAGCUCACUAAACUAUAACUGACGCUGAGGCACGAAAGCGUGGGGAUCAAACAGGAUUAGAUACCCCGGUAGUC